RNAcentral lists this ribosomal RNA (491 nucleotides) under uncultured bacterium. RNAcentral describes it as "partial 16S ribosomal RNA". It matches the Rfam family "Bacterial small subunit ribosomal RNA", at positions 29 to 507 of the family's 1533-position model. The record is from RNAcentral.
GUGAACGCUGGCGGUAGGCCUCACACCUGCAAGUCGAACGGCAGCACAGUAAGAGCUUGCUCUUACGGGUGGCGAGUGGCGGACGGGUGAGGAAUACAUCGGAAUCUACUUUUUCGUGGGGGAUAACGUAGGGAAACUUACGCUAAUACCGCAUACGACCUACGGGUGAAAGCAGGGGAUCUUCGGACCUUGCGCGAUUGGAUGAGCCGAUGUCGGAUUAGCUAGUUGGCGGGGUAAAGGCCCACCAAGGCGACGAUCCGUAGCUGGUCUGAGAGGAUGAUCAGCCACACUGGAACUGAGACACGGUCCAGACUCCUACGGGAGGCAGCAGUGGGGAAUAUUGGACAAUGGGCGCAAGCCUGAUCCAGCCAUACCGCGUGGGUGAAGAAGGCCUUCGGGUUGUAAAGCCCUUUUGUUGGGAAAGAAAAGCAGCAGGUUAAUACCCCGCUGUUCUGACGGUACCCAAAGAAUAAGCACCGGCUAACUUCGUG